This is a non-coding RNA of Oryctolagus cuniculus (rabbit), 850 nucleotides long. NCBI's taxonomy places the organism in Eukaryota, Metazoa, Chordata, Mammalia, Lagomorpha, Leporidae. The record is from RefSeq and is a predicted model, not a curated record.
GCCCUGCUCCCGCCUCGGCGGCGGGGAGCUCGCGAGCCUGGCCCCGCGCCCCUCCGCGAACCCCGCACCCGCCCGGCGCGGCGGGCUCAACCCGGGGACCAGGGCUCCGCACGGACAGGUCUGCACUAACCACCUUCACGAUGCCCGCUGCUGCAGGCUGCCCAGCUCCGCAAAAGCCCCAUCUAGGAAGAGGACGAUCUGGUUGAGGCGGAGGUCCAGCAGUGUGAGGGCAGACAGGCCUAAGAAGACCCCCGGCCCCACGAUUCGCAGACGAUUGCCCUGCAGCCUCAGGGGCCGCCUGGUGGACACCCUACAGCACCUCAGAAGGUGGCAGCUUUGGGAAACUUAGAGAAUGAGGCCGGACGCGCAGAGGGAUGCGGGAAACCAGCUGAGGCUCCAGGCUGAGAAAGGACGGCUGGGGGUCCAGGCUGCUGCACACACCUCACAGGAACCGUACAGCUGUGUCGCCCAGGCCCUGCCCUUCUAGAGGGAAGACGAAGCCAGCCAAGGACCCCCUCCACAGAGACCCUUGUUUGGAGGACGCCAGCCACCAGGAAAGCCCCUCCUCCUCCAUCCUCUCAACCACAGGCCAAGACAGAAGUGUACAGUAAGACAGGCACCAGACCCUCUAGCCUCUCUGAGCUAGAGAAAACAGAGACCUAGAGUUGGACAGAAAGCCGCCGAAACGCGGAAAAACCCAUACUCGCGUCCUGGCCCUGUGCCCAGCCGGCAGCUCCCUCAGCCCCAGCAGCCCUCCUGUCCUCUUCCCUCCUCCCUCCUCCCCUCCCUGCCACCUGUACACCCUUCAGUGCCAUCUACCCCAAACCUCAAAGACAAACUUCCUAGUGCA